This 374-nucleotide small RNA is filed under the name Histoplasma capsulatum. RNAcentral describes it as "hypothetical RNA". Lineage: Eukaryota; Fungi; Ascomycota; Eurotiomycetes; Onygenales; Ajellomycetaceae. RNAcentral also lists the same sequence under 1 other name. The record is from RNAcentral.
GACGGAUGGUACGAUGGGCGAUGGAUGGAUGGAUGAUGGAUUGGACGGAUGGUGAGAUGGACAGAGACAACAGACGGAGGACGGAUGUGGUGGUUCUGAUGGACGCUGGCUAACUAGUAGUUGUGGAGCGAGCCUGAGACUUGGAGGCUGAGGACGGAGGACAGGGGAAAUCGACCGGACCAGUGGACGCUGGUGCAGGGAACGAUCAUAAAAACGCCAUCAAUGGCAAAUUGCACAGAGCAGUAGUAUAUUUAUUCAAUGCUAGCGGAGGGAUAGAGUAGAGCAAAACUGAAAAUAACAUCUGACAAUCGCCCGUGGAGGACAGACAGCCCGAGACAGGAGGCAGAGUACAGUACGUAACGAUGUAUGAUGAU